RNAcentral lists this transfer RNA (108 nucleotides) under Candidatus Heimdallarchaeota archaeon B3_Heim. Its description in RNAcentral is "Candidatus Heimdallarchaeota archaeon B3-JM-08 tRNA-Arg". It matches the Rfam family "tRNA". Rfam says of the family: Transfer RNA (tRNA) molecules are approximately 80 nucleotides in length. The record is from RNAcentral. Lineage: Archaea; Promethearchaeati; Candidatus Heimdallarchaeota. RNAcentral also lists the same sequence under 1 other name.
GGAUCCGUGGCUUAGCCAGGAUAAAGCUUUUGCAUGGUUAGAGCUUCUAGAAAGAGCGGCGGCCUUCUAAGUCGCAGGUCGGGGGUUCAAAUCCCCUCGGAUCCGCCA